CUUGACAUUGUACCCAGCCGAUCACCGUAUCUUCUCGCCGCGAUCUCGUGCGCGAACCCGAACUGCGACUGACCUGACAUUUAUAUCAACAGCAUAAUAAUACGUAUAUUGCUGCGAAAUAUUAUUGUUCGUAGACAUACGGGUUUUCUUUCGGAUUCCGGACACAGGUAGAUUAUUAUACGCGGGGGAGGAUCGCCUUGCGAGCAUCCAAUUGUACGGUUAUAGACGGAUGAAAAACACGUACGCUGUACAUUAUAUUGUUUACGGGGUAGAUCGUUUA
This is a non-coding RNA of Cinara cedri, 280 nucleotides long. The record is from the annotation of a GenBank genome assembly. Lineage: Eukaryota; Metazoa; Arthropoda; Insecta; Hemiptera; Aphididae.